This is a long non-coding RNA of Neodiprion virginianus, 144 nucleotides long. RefSeq lists it as uncharacterized. The transcript is spliced from 3 exons. Lineage: Eukaryota; Metazoa; Arthropoda; Insecta; Hymenoptera; Diprionidae. The record is from RefSeq and is a predicted model, not a curated record.
UCAACAAUUACAAACUUAAAGGGCAUAGCCGGAUAAGCAGGUCGAAUCGGCCCCCGCUGAAUUUUUUGUCGGUACUUCAGGGAUCAAUUUGGACCCAAAUGAAAAUAAUUCAGUGAAAAUUUCAGCUAUUAAUCUUAAACGGUU